Long non-coding RNA from Pan troglodytes (chimpanzee), 1543 nucleotides. RefSeq lists it as uncharacterized. Lineage: Eukaryota; Metazoa; Chordata; Mammalia; Primates; Hominidae. The record is from RefSeq and is a predicted model, not a curated record. The transcript has 2 exons.
AAAAGCAUGGCUGAGGAGGCCAGGCUCAGAGGGGUUCCCAGACGUGCUCCACUCUAAGUGACCUUGGGCAGUCCCCGGUCUGUUCAUUGUCUGCACCAUGUGAGGGCCAGGAGCUUUGAAAAUCUGGAUGAAGAGCUGUGAAUCUUCCUCCCAAUCUUUGGACAAGAACCCGCAGACACAGACAAUAACAGCAUAACAGCUCCUUGCUAGAGGUCUAUGACUUCCUCAUCAAGGAAACAUUCCCUCUCUUUCCUUUUUUUUUUUUUUUUUUUUAGUUGUUGGCACUGUACACUAAGAAACGAAUUUUCUCUGCAGAGUAAGGAACAGCCAGGCUUGAAACUCUCACCAAAUCUGCCAGUCUGGGUCUACUUUAAAUGUGCUACAACUUCUUUCAAACACACAAUAAACGAAAAGACCAAUCUGAAUGAUCAGUGCAAUUUAGUUAGUAUCAUGUCACUUUAAAAUCUGGCCAAGAAUCCUCAUACUAUCCUGCUCUUGUCCCCAUCUUAGAGUUGAAAAAACUGAGGUCCAGAGAAGGCAAGUAACUUGCUUAACAUCACACAGCUAAGUAGCAGUGAAAAUAGGGACAUGAAUCUAGUCCCAAUUGACUCCACAGGGUCAUGGGAGCACCCUCACUUCCAAGAACGUGUUGACAUGGGGCCACAGAACCAGCGGGAGAGUACAGGAGCUACAGCAGAGCCUGGAGGCCAGACUUCUCACUUAAAGAAGAGGCUCCCAGGAUUCCAGAGAGGCAAUGGGGCUGCCCCAGGGUUACAGAGCUAGUUAAAAUCACACACUAGCUCUGCUACAAAUUAACUGGACGAUAUCAUGAAACAAUGGCUUGGGAACAUUUAUUUGGGGAGAGGUUCUUGAUGAAACCAAAUGAGCUUGCUUUUCAAAACUACCCAGGGUUUGUUUUACUUCCUUACUUGGGUGCAGAGCUUCAUAACUAUGGAGUCUCUUCACUCCUUGCUCAUGACUUUCUGAGCUGAAGAAAACCCUGUUAUCCCAGAGUGCACAGCAAGGAGCCCUAGAGGACUGAGGGCCCCCAAACUACUUCUCACCUGUCUGGAGAGAACACUGUUCACUCCAAUCGGCAAGUUCAAGACCUCAGCACCCCUGGUAAUUGCAGUGUACGGAACUCCCAGAACCAUGAUAAUUUUGUAGGAAGCUGUCAGAAAUCACAGAUCUAAGGACUUGUCUCCACAAUCUGCCAUCUCAACUCUUAUUCUGAGCUGCGGCCUGAGCUAUUAAAAACAAAACAUUCUCGUGGGCAAGCUCCACAAUUAGCCUCAUUUCCACACUAGAAAAACUGUUCUGCAUGAGCUGAAAUUGCACAGAGAUUGUUUCUUGUCAUAGUGAUGCUGUUUCAAGGGCCGUGCUGAGAGCCAGCGAGGAUGUGACCCAGUGGUAAUCUGAAUUGCUUCACCAAACACAUUUUUAUCCCAUCAUCUCGGCUACAUGAAAGGGGGCCACAGUGCUCGUGUUCAAGGCUUUACAGUCCCGCUGUUCAGCAAUAAAAUGAGGCAAGAAAUAUUAGCCA